This 111-nucleotide non-coding RNA is filed under the name Peptoclostridium acidaminophilum. Its description in RNAcentral is "Glycine sequence". It matches the Rfam family "Glycine riboswitch aptamer". From Rfam's summary of the family: This family represents the bacterial glycine riboswitch. The record is from RNAcentral. RNAcentral also lists the same sequence under 1 other name. Lineage: Bacteria; Bacillati; Bacillota; Clostridia; Peptostreptococcales; Peptoclostridiaceae.
ACGAAGGAUACAGGAGAGAGCCUUGCUAAAAGGCCGCCGAAGGGACAAACUUUUGAAGCCCUGCUUAGAUUCAAGAGUGAAAUUCUCAGGCAAAAGGAUCGUAUCCAGACA